RNAcentral lists this ribosomal RNA (300 nucleotides) under uncultured archaeon. Its description in RNAcentral is "bacterial SSU rRNA". The stretch from base 60 to 300 matches the Rfam family "Bacterial small subunit ribosomal RNA", at positions 555 to 795 of the family's 1533-position model. The record is from RNAcentral.
GGCUAUCGCCUGGGAGCGGUCGGGGGAAGACGGGGGCUGGGAGGGUGGACCGGAGGCAGUGGGCGGAAAGGGGGGUGGGGCGGCUUGAGAAGUCACUGUGUAAAUCCGUGUGCGCAAGGGCGGGGCGGCAGGUGAGACUGUCUGGCUGGAGGUUGGUAGGGGCGAGUGGAAGUCCCGGUGUAGCGGUGGAAUGCGUAGAGUUCGGGAAGAACACCGGUGGCGAAGGCGGCUCGCUGGGCCAAUGCUGACGCUGAUGCGCGAAAGCGUGGGGAGCAAACAGGAUUAGAUACCCGAGUAGUC